UACGGAGGGUGCAAGCGUUAUCCGGAUUCACUGGGUUUAAAGGGUGCGUAGGCGGAUUUGUAAGUCCGUGGUGAAAUCUCUAAGCUUAACUUGGAAACUGCCAUGGAUACUAUAAAUCUUGAAUGUUGUGGAGGUUAGCGGAAUAUGUCAUGUAGCGGUGAAAUGCUUAGAUAUGACAUAGAACACCGAUUGCGAAGGCAGCUGGCUACACAACUAUUGACGCUGAGGCACGAAAGCGUGGGGAU
This 245-nucleotide ribosomal RNA is filed under the name uncultured bacterium. RNAcentral's name for it is "partial 16S ribosomal RNA". It matches the Rfam family "Bacterial small subunit ribosomal RNA", at positions 524 to 768 of the family's 1533-position model. The record is from RNAcentral.